GCUGCGGAUGGGGGGCGCCCAGAGCUGGGUGCGGGGUGUAUAUGGAGUGUGUAGGGGUGCUCAUGGGUGCCAUAUGAGCCGUGCACUGCAGAGCCUGUGGGCAUGUGGUGGCUGUAUAACGGGCAAAUGGGGGUUAUAGACCUUGUAUCUAUGGGGUGCAUGUAUGGGAAGUGUAGAGGAGCGUGCUUAUGCGCUUCCUUGGGACGUGAAUGAAAUACAUAUGUGAGAUCUGUGUGUGUGUUCUGGAGGAACUGCAUAGCUUGCAUACAGGGGAGAGCACAGAGGAUGUAUGUGAAGGUUUGCAUGGGAUUUGGAUAGGAUGCCCUAGGGGAGUGCAUGUGGGUAUGUAUGGAGAGUGUAGGGGUCUCUUUGCAGCCCUGCCGUGCGCUGCCCCGGUGGCAGAUACAGGGCAUUGUCUCAGCCACACAGGGGGCUCAGGACUGCCCUUGCCUCCCCCACCCCCAGGGCCUGCCUAGGGCCCAUGCACUGGCACAUCUGCCUAGGGACAUCCAAAUCUGGGGCAGGGGAUUUAUUUUAAUAAACCGUUUACAGUUAAUUGUGUUAAGUGCUAAAGUAGUGUAGAAGGAAGAGCAAAUGCGAGAUGGGGACAAAUUGAAUUCUCUUCAACAAUAAGACCUUAGAACUUCUGUUUUAUAAUGUGGACCUGAAGACUCUCAAGAGGAAGGUAGGAUAGUCACAUACAUUACAAACUUAAGGCCUUUUUACUCUAAUAUUUUAAAUUUUUUUCAUUUAUACAUGUAAAAAACCCAAUCAACUGCCUAUCUGAAAUGGACUUACAGCCAGAUCAUAAACAUACAUAGGGAUAGACAUACAAAAAGCCCAGGUUCUAUGCAUAAAGCCUUUCUUUUCUGUCCUCUUACAUUCUUCUGUGACACAGGUUGCUGCUAGGUAUGUUAAUCCAUGGUUUUGAACUGCUACAUAAAAAGGAAAGCUCAAGCUGUAGAGAACCUGCCUCCUCACCAGGCACUGAGAUGCCUCUACGGGUGAUGGAGCAAACCACCGCCCAGGCUACAAUUCCUUCUCUCCUCUCACUGUUUCAUCUCAACAGCCGUCAACGCAGAAGAAUGUGGCCAAGAUAAGCAAGUCACAGCAAAACUGUUCUUGGCUGCAGUGAUGUCAAGAGUUUUGUAUUUGCAGAGACCUCAAUGUUUUCCAUUUUGAUUCUGAGAGUCCUUUGUAACCUGGCUAUGUUGGCAUCCAAGGCUGCUAAGCUAUUUUUAAAGUCCUCUUCAUCUCGAGACGUAAAUGUUGAGAAAGAAGAUGCACUCCAGUCAGACCUCCCUGAUAAAUCAUCAAAUGAAAUGCAACUAAAAUCAGCUACUUUACUGCCUGUUCUCUGAGAAAUCCCUGUUGGAAAUGGCAUCGAUGCACGAGGAUAGAGCAACCUAAACCAGUUGGACAGGCAGCUGUCCUUGAAGGAAGCACAGAAGGUAUCCUACAGAAGAUCCUUCUUUGAGAAAAGCCUGGCUUGGACACUGAACUCCAGACCAGUUUCUAGCUGUGGAUCCUAAACUGAGGCCAAGGACUGCAAUGCUUCCCUGUCCAAGAGCUAUAAGGAAAGGGUAUUGUCAUUCUCUUCCACACUUCCUACUAGAUAAACCUGAUGAUGCUGAUAUUUGUAAACACACUCAACUUUCUUCCUUAUACAUGAAGUUCAAACAUCUCUGAAUUUCAGGAAUUAUUUAGUAAACAUUUAAGAUUUCUGAAAGACAAUACAUCCUUUUGUGGAUUCAACCCAGGAUCAACCUACGAACAAACAGCAACAAUUAUUUGAAGCCUUGUUGUAUCUCAAGAGGUUGAGGAGUCACUCAGUGUUGUUUGAAUAAAAAAAAAAAAAUCAACCCUAAGAAAGCCCACUUACCAAUUUCUUUUUGGACAGGGGCA
Corvus hawaiiensis (hawaiian crow) is the source of this 1905-nucleotide long non-coding RNA. RefSeq lists it as uncharacterized. The transcript is spliced from 4 exons. Lineage: Eukaryota; Metazoa; Chordata; Aves; Passeriformes; Corvidae. The record is from RefSeq and is a predicted model, not a curated record.